This 68-nucleotide transfer RNA is filed under the name Rattus norvegicus (Norway rat). It matches the Rfam family "tRNA". Rfam says of the family: Transfer RNA (tRNA) molecules are approximately 80 nucleotides in length. Their secondary structure includes four short double-helical elements and three loops (D, anti-codon, and T loops). The record is from Rfam by way of RNAcentral. Lineage: Eukaryota; Metazoa; Chordata; Mammalia; Rodentia; Muridae.
GAGGAUUUAGCUCAGUGGUAGAGCGCUUGCCUAGCAAGCGCAAGGCCCUGGGUUCGGUCCCCAGCUCG